This 731-nucleotide ribosomal RNA is filed under the name Herbaspirillum sp. ehK14. RNAcentral describes it as "bacterial SSU rRNA". It matches the Rfam family "Bacterial small subunit ribosomal RNA", at positions 58 to 782 of the family's 1533-position model. Lineage: Bacteria; Pseudomonadati; Pseudomonadota; Betaproteobacteria; Burkholderiales; Oxalobacteraceae. The record is from RNAcentral.
UCAGUCGUACGGCAGCAUGGGAGCUUGCUCCUGAUGGCGAGUGGCGAAAGGGAGAGUAAUAUAUCGGAACGUGCCCUAGAGUGGGGGAUAACUAGUCGAAAGAUUAGCUAAUACCGCAUACGAUCUACGGAUGAAAGUGGGGGAUCGCAAGACCUCAUGCUCAUGGAGCGGCCGAUAUCUGAUUAGCUAGUUGGUGGGGUAAAAGCUCACCAAGGCGACGAUCAGUAGCUGGUCUGAGAGGACGACCAGCCACACUGGGACUGAGACACGGCCCAGACUCCUACGGGAGGCAGCAGUGGGGAAUUUUGGACAAUGGGGGCAACCCUGAUCCAGCAAUGCCGCGUGAGUGAAGAAGGCCUUCGGGUUGUAAAGCUCUUUUGUCAGGGAAGAAACGGUUGCAGCUAAUAUCUGCGACUAAUGACGGUACCUGAAGAAUAAGCACCGGCUAACUACGUGCCAGCAGCCGCGGUAAUACGUAGGGUGCAAGCGUUAAUCGGAAUUACUGGGCGUAAAGCGUGCGCAGGCGGUUGUGUAAGUCAGAUGUGAAAUCCCCGGGCUCAACCUGGGAAUUGCAUUUGAGACUGCACGGCUAGAGUGUGUCAGAGGGGGGUAGAAUUCCACGUGUAGCAGUGAAAUGCGUAGAUAUGUGGAGGAAUACCGAUGGCGAAGGCAGCCCCCUGGGAUAACACUGACGCUCAUGCACGAAAGCGUGGGGAGCAAACAGGAUUAGA